RNAcentral lists this transfer RNA (79 nucleotides) under Parakontikia atrata. RNAcentral describes it as "tRNA-Asp". The record is from RNAcentral. Lineage: Eukaryota; Metazoa; Platyhelminthes; Tricladida; Geoplanidae.
UAAAAUUUAGUUUUAUAAAAAUAUCUAAUUGUCAAUUGGAAGAUAGCAUUUAAUUACAUUAAUAAUAUGUUAAUUUUGU